This 301-nucleotide ribosomal RNA is filed under the name uncultured bacterium. RNAcentral describes it as "partial 16S ribosomal RNA". It matches the Rfam family "Bacterial small subunit ribosomal RNA", at positions 509 to 807 of the family's 1533-position model. The record is from RNAcentral.
CAGCCGCCGCGGGAAUACGUAGGUGGCAAGCGUUGUCCGGAUUUAUUGGGCGUAAAGCGAGCGCAGGCGGUUUCUUAAGUCUGAUGUGAAAGCCCCCGGCUCAACCGGGGAGGGUCAUUGGAAACUGGGAGACUUGAGUGCAGAAGAGGAGAGUGGAAUUCCAUGUGUAGCGGUGAAAUGCGUAGAUAUAUGGAGGAACACCAGUGGCGAAGGCGGCUCUCUGGUCUGUAACUGACGCUGAGGCUCGAAAGCGUGGGGAGCGAACAGGAUUAGAUACCCCCGUAGUCCCUGUCUCUUAUAC